RNAcentral lists this ribosomal RNA (253 nucleotides) under uncultured bacterium. Its description in RNAcentral is "partial 16S ribosomal RNA". It matches the Rfam family "Bacterial small subunit ribosomal RNA", at positions 524 to 776 of the family's 1533-position model. The record is from RNAcentral.
UACAGGGAGUACAAGCGUUAGUCGUCAUUAUUAAGCGUAAGGGGUAUGUAGGUGGUUUUUAAAAUUUUUUAUUAAAUGCUGGGAUAUAGCCUCAGACGAAUAAUUUUAGAUUUUCAAACUUGAGUUAUGAAGAAGUUGUUAGAAUGGUGUGUGGAGGGGUAGAAUCCGUAGAGGCACAUCGGAAUACCAAAGGCGAAGGCAUUCAACUAUUUAUAACUGACACUGAGGUACGGAAGCGUGGGUAUCGAAUCGG